UUGUCCAGGGGGCCGCCUUCGCCACCGGUAUUCCUCCAGAUCUCUACGCAUUUCACCGCUACACCUGGAAUUCUACCCCCCUCUACAAGACUCUAGUCUGCCAGUUCGAAAUGCAGUUCCCAGGUUGAGCCCGGGGCUUUCACAUCUCGCUUAACAGACCGCCUGCGCACGCUUUACGCCCAGUAAUUCCGAUUAACGCUUGCACCCUCCGUAUUACCGCGGCUGCUGGCACGGAGUUAGCCGGUGCUUCUUCUGUGGGUAACGUCACAGCUGAUAGGUAUUAACCAUCAGCCUUUCCUCCCCACUGAAAGUGCUUUACAACCCGAAGGCCUUCUUCACACACGCGGCAUGGCUGGAUCAGGGUUUCCCCCAUUGUCCAAUAUUCCCCACUGCUGCCUCCCGUAGGAGUCUGGACCGUGUCUCAGUUCCAGUGUGGCUGUCCAUCCUCUCAGAACAGCUAGGGAUCGUCGCCUAGGUGAGCCUUUACCUCACCUACUAGCUAAUCCCACCUGGGCCUAUCCAUUCGCGAGAGGUCCGAAGAUCCCCCUCUUUCCCCCGUAGGGCGUAUGCGGUAUUAGCAGUCGUUUCCAACUGUUAUCCCCCUCGAAUGGGCAAGUUCCCAGGCAUUACUCACCCGUCCGCCGCUCGCCACCUCAGGAGUAAACUCCCUUGUGCUGCCGCUCGACUUGCAUGUGUUAGGCCUGCCGCC
Molecule: ribosomal RNA, 709 nt
Filed under: Shewanella litorisediminis
Lineage: Bacteria; Pseudomonadati; Pseudomonadota; Gammaproteobacteria; Alteromonadales; Shewanellaceae
Description: partial 16S rRNA
Source: RNAcentral